Molecule: small RNA, 3289 nt
Filed under: Rattus norvegicus (Norway rat)
Lineage: Eukaryota; Metazoa; Chordata; Mammalia; Rodentia; Muridae
Description: uncharacterized LOC102550976
Source: RNAcentral
CAUACCCUCAGCCUUACAGGGUGACCAUUCUGUUUCUGGAGAUGCUCAAGGAACCAAACAGAAUAAAGGCAAGAAAGCUGAAAGUGUAGCUUCACUAUGAGCAGUGAGGGUGUGAUGCUCUGCAGGAAUGAAGGCUUUUUGCUCCUGGAAAGGGCACAGCAUGCUUCCAGCUCAGGUUCCUCCUUGAAAUUCACUUCAGAAAACCUCAUUUUCACAAGAGGAGCUUAAUCAUUCAUGUUUUCGCUAUGGAACUAAGGCUGGUUACUGAAUCCAGGAAUGUCUGGGGCUGCAGAGCUUGCAACAUGUGCUGAAGUGGAAAAAGAACCAGGAGCCACAUGUAUGCCCUUGUGUCUGCUCAUGCAUCCCGGGAGAGACUAAAGUCCUAUAUAUCAGAUGUUUCUGCUGCCUUCCACUGAAGUUCUGUGUUUUGUUUUUGCACUCUACACACACCUCAGCUUCAUGGCCUGAGACCAGUGUCUUCAUAAAACUGAAGAAGUGUCAACAAGUCUCCCUAUAAAGAGAAGUUUGAGACAAUGGAUCGCUAACACCGAGUUAAGUAUUCUACUGUGUAUCUGUGUCUUAAAAGAUCACAGGGUAACUACACAAAGAUGUACACUUUUGUUUUGCUUUCUGUGUCAGUUUAGAGACAAAAUUAAGGAAAGUACCUCCGUCCCCUGUUCCUGGGCUAAGUUCAUGGUCACCUAGGUGCUCUUUGUUGACCAGGUGUGAACAUCAUCUCCUUUCUACUUUCAGAGUACUGGCAUUUUCUUAGCAGAAAGGAUAGUGACACAUACAGUGUAAAAGUCAAAAUUAUUUUCCUGAUAGCUACUGGGUUAGUGAGGAUAGAGUAAAUUGCAUUUGAGGAUAAAUUUAGAUUUGUGAGUUAUUUCCUCUCUUCCUCUCACUCACUGUUCCCUGGAUGGCUGAAUAUGCACUUUCUCUUCUGCCCUUUAGGAAGCAUUUCCUGUACAAAUAUGGCUUACUCUUGCAAUAAUCUCCUAUAACACCACACUACUGGGCUUCUUUCCAAAAGGUCCUCAUCUGCUGUGUGGUACUCAGGAUCCCUAGGGUGGGAUAUCUUUCAUGUAAAUGAUUUCAUUCAAACUUUUAUAGAGGUGUUCUGCAAACAAGACAGUUUCAUUUCAGGACUUGGAAGGGGAAAGGGGAGAAAGCAAAUGAAUUUUUUAGAACCCUUAUACUCUACCCAGACUGCAUAUGUUUUCAGACUUAAGAAUUACUUUGCCAGCUUUGAACGAAGCUUAUCAUAGAUGAAGAUCUGCUUUAGUCUCUCUUCAGUGUUUCUCAAGGAAGAACUCAGCUAGUCAGAACUCUGCUAACAAAAGGUGAGUGCUUCAAGUCACACUACAUCUUUUGCCCCAUGGUGUUUUUCAUUCUUCUUCAUAUGUAUGUAGUCCAGGACUACAUUGAAAACUGGUGGAUAAAACUACUGCUUUUGUGAAGGUGAAACUCAAGUAUGGAAGUCCAGGGAAUUGUGCUGCCUUAAUGAAUUACUUAAAGAUACUACUGGGUUAUUGGAUAAUAGUGCUAUGAUAGGGGGCAUACAGGCAACAUAGAACAAGGCUUCAAGAGAACACCUGUAGAUAAGAAGACUACAGUCUAAGGACCAAGUUAUCAAUUCUGGCUGAGCAUGUGCCCCAUGUGUUUCCUUACUUACUCUUAGCAGGAGCCCAUAAGCCUCCACAUUCUAAGUUUCGUGAUGGUGUCUCUGCCCCCAGCCCAUUACUCCUGAGCUCCUGUUCAUCUCUUCUUGCUUGGCACUCUCACUUUGAAGGCUUUCACAGGGUUACACUCCUUGUAUGUGAUUAUGGUCACUCCAGCUAUUGUCUGAACCUAGCUGCAUAAUGGCUGGCACAUAGUGCUUGCUUGCUGAAUGGCACCCACACUGUAGUACUUCAUAGGUGUUAGCUUAUUUUUGUCAGCAACACAACAUGCAGUAGCAAUACCCUUACCUCCAUUCCAUUGAUUCAGUAACAAGUUUAGCUUAUUUGCUGGGCAUCUCAAUCUAAACACGUGGUGGCAAUUCUAUAAGAUUGGUGAUAAACUUCAGUGUUUUUCUUUUCUGUUCAAACCGAUAGAGGCAAUACUGGCUGUGAGGAGAUUGAGAAUGAGUAAGGAUGGUUCUUUCCUUUGGCCAUUACAAGAAUUCUGUGUAGAUUAUUGUUCCUGUUGGUCAGUACUGUCAUUCAAGUCAUGAUGCUCAUAGCCACUAACUUUAGGCUGCAGCUUUUUAUAUCCCUUUCUCUCACCCCUUCCUUUCCAGGAAUGAAAAAGUUUUGGACUUAAGUUCAGCCCUAAGGUACCCAAAUAUCAGUCUGGGAAUCUGGAGUAUCAUGUACAGGAAAGAUGGGGUCUUGACUUUGGAUUGAGGGAGAUGUCUAUGUGGCUGAUGGGCCUUCCCUGGACCAGGAGAGACUGCUUCUGUCCCAAGAGAUGCUUCUCUAAGGACUUCACCAAUGGGAAUGGACUCCCAACCAUGCUGGUUAGGAUGCUUCUCUCAAGGCUUCAGCACUGGGAAUGGACUUCCAACCGUGCCUCCUCCCUUUUACAGGCAUUGUGUGAAUACUUAAAGGAAGUUGUACUUCAUUUCCAUCAGGAUGAAGUCCCCACCUGAUGGUUCCCAUACAAAAAACGUUGGAUCCCUCUUAUUUGCCAAUUUCAAGUUGUUCUGUUAAUAUAAACUCAUGUGUACUUAUUUUUCAGUUUGAAUUAUGAUCCAGUUUUACUAUAUUAUUGUGUUCAACUUUCCAACAAUGCUGUUAAUAUGUGAACAAUACCAGCAUCAUCUGGUAUAUCUUCUAUUGCAGGACUGGAAUCUUUAUUUCUUCAAGAAUUCCAUAUUCUCUCUUUCCAUAGAGAAUUCUUGUAGAUGCACACUGUUAUUGCUACUUCCUUGUUUCUGUGUGUUCAGUCAACAAAGCAAGAAAAAUUAUGUAUAUGGUAACAUGUAUGUUUAUUAUACAUAAAUAAUUUUCUUAGUCUCUUCCACAAAUGCAAUAUUUUCUCUUUUUGCACCUAUAAACUCCUUAUUGAAUAGAGAGUAUCCAGUUCCUAUUGUAGAGUAACUUAAUUGCUUGGUUCCUCUAUACCUUUAUUUCAGUGUCAGAAUUAACCCAUAUUAAGCAACCUUGUUAACGAGAGUAUUUAGAACUAUUUAUUUGCUUAACGUUAGUGUUUUAUUCCUUCACCCCCUUCUUUGAAAUAUUUGAUGUCUUGAUAGAUAUGUGAUUUAAUGUUUUACCUCAAAAUAUUUUUGAUAAAGAAUAAAUGA